UGAGAUGUACUGAAGAUUCCAUGUUGUUAAGUGCUGGAUCCUGGGCUUUGUUAGCAGGCCAUCCGGUGAGCAUGCUGACACAGGAUAGAUUGCGUGUCGGGACACGAUUUGACGCCAAUUCUUGUACUGGCACUCUUGUUGGUCGUGGGCUACCAUGUAAUCGCGGACAAUCUCGGAAUUCCUGUCUGGCUUGGCUUUUCACUGCUUAAGAUUCGUGUGCGCGCUAGAGACCAUUGAUUCCCUUUCUCCUCUUCCUCAGCUCUUUCUCCUCUCUCACACCACCGCUGCCUCCCCACGCCGUCGCUGCCACCCGUGCUGUCAAGGUUCGAUUCUGGAAAAGCAAGCUGGAGGUGGGGGGAGCGGCCGGCGGCGAGGUCGCCGCCGGCCGGGAUGGUGCUCGAGGCUGGCGGUAGUUAUGGUUGGAGGUUCGGGUGCUCCAACGGCAGCUGGUCUUAGAGAAGGAGGAGGUCAGCAGCAGCGGAAGUCCGAUGGAGGUACGUGGUGGGUUGGUCGGCUGCUGAGGUACUGUGGAGGGCCGUCGAGGUAGAGGGAGCUCCGCUGGCCGGGCAGGGUUGGAAAUCCGAUGGCCAGUGCUGUGGCCAGCAGCGGGGGUUGGGAGGUACACCAGAUUACGAAUGGUGGUGCAGGGC
Molecule: long non-coding RNA, 650 nt
Filed under: Setaria italica (foxtail millet)
Lineage: Eukaryota; Viridiplantae; Streptophyta; Magnoliopsida; Poales; Poaceae
Description: long non-coding RNA (SITA_LNC001030)
Source: RNAcentral